This 63-nucleotide transfer RNA is filed under the name Enchiridium sp. MTA_2015. RNAcentral describes it as "tRNA-Ser". The record is from RNAcentral. Lineage: Eukaryota; Metazoa; Platyhelminthes; Polycladida; Prosthiostomidae.
AGGUCUUAUGAUGUUAUCAUUCAAUUUUGAACGUUGAAUUAGGGUUUUUUAACCCAAGGCCUU